Molecule: non-coding RNA, 75 nt
Organism: Haemonchus contortus (barber pole worm)
Lineage: Eukaryota; Metazoa; Nematoda; Chromadorea; Rhabditida; Trichostrongylidae
Source: Rfam
GGCACAAACCUGAAGUAGAAUAGUUGGGUAUGGUCAGCUGAUCCUACUGAUCUACUCUGCUUCAAGUUUGUGCUC